This 710-nucleotide ribosomal RNA is filed under the name soil bacterium Siso-S1A-M1LLLSSL-3. Its description in RNAcentral is "bacterial SSU rRNA". It matches the Rfam family "Bacterial small subunit ribosomal RNA", at positions 94 to 817 of the family's 1533-position model. The record is from RNAcentral.
AGUGGCGAACGGGUGAGUAACACGUGAGUAACCUGCCCUUGACUCUGGGAUAAGCCUGGGAAACUGGGUCUAAUACCGGAUACGACUGCUCCGCGCAUGCGGUGGUGGUGGAAAGCUUUUGCGGUUUUGGAUGGACUCGCGGCCUAUCAGCUUGUUGGUGGGGUAAUGGCCUACCAAGGCGACGACGGGUAGCCGGCCUGAGAGGGUGACCGGCCACACUGGGACUGAGACACGGCCCAGACUCCUACGGGAGGCAGCAGUGGGGAAUAUUGCACAAUGGGCGAAAGCCUGAUGCAGCGACGCCGCGUGAGGGAUGACGGCCUUCGGGUUGUAAACCUCUUUCAGUAGGGAAGAAGCGAAAGUGACGGUACCUGCAGAAGAAGCGCCGGCUAACUACGUGCCAGCAGCCGCGGUAAUACGUAGGGCGCAAGCGUUAUCCGGAAUUAUUGGGCGUAAAGAGCUCGUAGGCGGUUUGUCGCGUCUGCUGUGAAAGACCGGGGCUCAACUCCGGUUCUGCAGUGGGUACGGGCAGACUAGAGUGAUGUAGGGGAGACUGGAAUUCCUGGUGUAGCGGUGAAAUGCGCAGAUAUCAGGAGGAACACCGAUGGCGAAGGCAGGUCUCUGGGCAUUAACUGACGCUGAGGAGCGAAAGCAUGGGGAGCGAACAGGAUUAGAUACCCUGGUAGUCCAUGCCGUAGACGUUGGGCACU